CGCGAUUGAUCGCCGCGUUUCUGAACAUAGGGACGCGGCAACAUAAUUACACAACAUAAUUGCAGCCGAAAUAAUUAUCGUAAUUUUAUUCGUGGUAUCAUUGAUUAUAAACAACUAAUACAUCUUUAUAAUCAAUGACGGUAUUAACAAAAUAACGAUUAAUGAUUUAAACAAUUCACGCACGGUACAUGGAUUGGGAACGCUCAAAAUACUAUAUAAAUCUAAAAAAAGACGAUCUAGGAUAAUGGAAACUGUUAUGAGGUAAUUUAAUGUUUAUCCGCAAGCAACGAUAAACCAUUGUUAACGAAAAAACGAUUCUGAGCGCAGUUCAUUUGAUAGUGAUGUUUUGUCAACAGUGUAUACAUGUCGCAUUAUGAUAAAAUAAUUGAAUAUGC
Non-coding RNA from Cinara cedri, 395 nucleotides. The record is from the annotation of a GenBank genome assembly. NCBI's taxonomy places the organism in Eukaryota, Metazoa, Arthropoda, Insecta, Hemiptera, Aphididae.